RNAcentral lists this small RNA (127 nucleotides) under Marmota monax (woodchuck). The record is from RNAcentral. Lineage: Eukaryota; Metazoa; Chordata; Mammalia; Rodentia; Sciuridae.
GCUGGGUGUGGUAGUGCACGCCUAUAAUCCCUGCAACUCAGGAGGCUGAGGCAGGAGGAUCACAAGUUUGAGGCCAGCCUGAGCAACUUAGGAAGGCCCUAAGCAACUUAGUGGGAACCUGUCUCAA